AAUACUUUAUUUUAUGGAUCACUUUUACAGUUUGUUACUAGAGAAGUUUCUCUGAUCAUGCACAGCACCGAAACCAUGAGAAGGAGUCAGAGUAUUCUCUCCUGAGCGUGAAGCUGGGUCUAGGUGCUGCUUCUGCAACUGCCUUUGACCAUUGAUGACCGUUAUUCUCAUCUUUUGGAAGCCUGAUAGGGAGAGGAUACAGUCUGAGUGG
RNAcentral lists this small nucleolar RNA (211 nucleotides) under Sorex araneus (European shrew). RNAcentral describes it as "Small nucleolar RNA U3 (ENSSARG00000016576.1)". It matches the Rfam family "Small nucleolar RNA U3". Rfam says of the family: Small nucleolar RNAs (snoRNAs) are involved in the processing and modification of rRNA in the nucleolus. Lineage: Eukaryota; Metazoa; Chordata; Mammalia; Eulipotyphla; Soricidae. The record is from RNAcentral.